CAGCCGUAAACUAUGCUCGCUAGGUGUCAGGCAUGGCGCGACCGUGUCUGGUGCCGCAGGGAAGCCGUGAAGCGAGCCACCUGGGAAGUACGGCCGCAAGGCUGAAGCUUAAAGGAAUUGGCGGGGGAGCACAACAACGGGUGGAGCCUGCGGUUUAAUUGGACUCAACGCCGGGAAGCUCACCGGAUAAGACAGCGGAAUGAUUGCCGGGCUGAAGACUCUGCAUGACUAGCUGAGAGGAGGUGCAUGGCGUAGACGUCU
This 261-nucleotide ribosomal RNA is filed under the name uncultured archaeon. RNAcentral describes it as "partial 16S ribosomal RNA". It matches the Rfam family "Archaeal small subunit ribosomal RNA", at positions 748 to 1009 of the family's 1478-position model. The record is from RNAcentral.